RNAcentral lists this ribosomal RNA (508 nucleotides) under uncultured bacterium. Its description in RNAcentral is "partial 16S ribosomal RNA". It matches the Rfam family "Bacterial small subunit ribosomal RNA", at positions 29 to 523 of the family's 1533-position model. The record is from RNAcentral.
AUUGAACGCUGGCGGCAGGCCUAACACAUGCAAGUCGAGCGGCAGCGGGAAAGUAGCUUGCUACUUUUGCCGGCGAGCGGCGGACGGGUGAGUAAUGCCUGGGGAUCUGCCCAGUCGAGGGGGAUAACAGUUGGAAACGACUGCUAAUACCGCAUACGCCCUACGGGGGAAAGGAGGGGACCUUCGGGCCUUUCGCGAUUGGAUGAACCCAGGUGGGAUUAGCUAGUUGGUGGGGUAAUGGCUCACCAAGGCGACGAUCCCUAGCUGGUCUGAGAGGAUGAUCAGCCACACUGGAACUGAGACACGGUCCAGACGCCUACGGGAGGCAGCAGUGGGGAAUAUUGCACAAUGGGGGAAACCCUGAUGCAGCCAUGCCGCGUGUGUGAAGAAGGCCUUCGGGUUGUAAAGCACUUUCAGCGAGGAGGAAAGGUUGUUGGCCAAUACCCAGCAACUGUGACGUUACUCGCAGAAGAAGCACCGGCUAACUCCGUGCCAGCCGCCGCCGUAA